UACGUAGGGUGCAAGCGUUAAUCGGAAUUACUGGGCGUAAAGCGUGCGCAGGCGGUUUGGUAAGUCUGACGUGAAAUCCCCGGGCUCAACCUGGGAAUUGCGUUGGAUACUGCAAGGCUAGAAUCUGGCAGAGGGGGGUAGAAUUCCACGUGUAGCAGUGAAAUGCGUAGAGAUGUGGAGGAACACCGAUGGCGAAGGCAGCCCCCUGGGUCAAGAUUGACGCUCAUGCACGAAAGCGUGGGGAGCAAA
Molecule: ribosomal RNA, 249 nt
Filed under: uncultured bacterium
Lineage: Bacteria
Description: partial 16S ribosomal RNA
Rfam family: Bacterial small subunit ribosomal RNA
Source: RNAcentral